CGCUAGUAAUCGCGGAUCAGAAUGCCGCGGUGAAUACGUUCCCGGGUCUUGUACACACCGCCCGUCACACCAUGGGAGUCGGAAAUGCCCGAAGUCUGUGACCCAACCGCAAGGAGGGAGCAGCCGAAGGCAGGUCGGAUGACUGGGGUGAAGUCGUAACAAGGUACC
This 168-nucleotide ribosomal RNA is filed under the name uncultured bacterium. Its description in RNAcentral is "partial 16S ribosomal RNA". It matches the Rfam family "Bacterial small subunit ribosomal RNA", at positions 1333 to 1500 of the family's 1533-position model. The record is from RNAcentral.